UGGGGAAUUUUGGACAAUGGGGGAAACCCUGAUCCAGCCAUCCCGCGUGUGCGAUGAAGGCCUUCGGGUUGUAAAGCACUUUUGGCAGGAAAGAAACGUCGCGGGUUAAUACCCCGCGAAACUGACGGUACCUGCAGAAUAAGCACCGGCUAACUACGUGCCAGCAGCCGCGGUAAUACGUAGGGUGCAAGCGUUAAUCGGAAUUACUGGGCGUAAAGCGUGCGCAGGCGGUUCGGAAAGAAAGAUGUGAAAUCCCAGAGCUUAACUUUGGAACUGCAUUUUUAACUACCGGGCUAGAGUGUGUCAGAGGGAGGUGGAAUUCCGCGUGUAGCAGUGAAAUGCGUAGAUAUGCGGAGGAACACCGAUGGCGAAGGCAGCCUCCUGGGAUAACACUGACGCUCAUGCACGAAAGCGUGGGGAGCAAACAGGAUUAGAUACCCUGGUAGUCCACGCCCUAAAACGAUGUCAACUAGCUGUUGGGGCCUUCGGCCUUGGUAGCGCAGCUAACGCGUGAAGUUGACCGCCUGGGGAGUACGGUC
This 539-nucleotide ribosomal RNA is filed under the name uncultured bacterium. RNAcentral's name for it is "partial 16S ribosomal RNA". It matches the Rfam family "Bacterial small subunit ribosomal RNA", at positions 355 to 887 of the family's 1533-position model. The record is from RNAcentral.